GAUGAACGCUAGCGAUAGGCUUAACACAUGCAAGUCGAGGGGCAGCGAGGAUGUAGCAAUACGUCGUCGGCGACCGGCGAAUGGGUGAGUAACACGUAUGCAACUUACCUCUUAGAGGUGAAUAACCCGAUGAAAGUCGGACUAAUACACCAUAUACUCCUUGGGUCACAUGAAUUGAGGAGGAAAGAUUUAUCGCUAAGAGAUAGGCCUGCGUUCCAUUAGUUGGUUGGUGAGGUAACGGCUCACCAAGGCAUCGAUGGAUAGGGGAGCUGAGAGGCUUAUCCCCCACAUUGGGACUGAGACACGGCCCAA
Molecule: ribosomal RNA, 312 nt
Filed under: uncultured bacterium
Lineage: Bacteria
Description: bacterial SSU rRNA
Rfam family: Bacterial small subunit ribosomal RNA
Source: RNAcentral